AUACACAACACCCAAAACCCAAUACACAGUAUACAGUUUAAUAACAAAACAACGCUUAAUUUUGUAUUUAUAUUAUAUGUUUGGAUGUAAUAACAUCAAUAUUAGCAGAAAAAAUAAUUAUUAGUACGAUUCUUCUAACAUCAAAAACAUGUCAGAUCAUCCAGAGGGUAUUUCUUACCAAGAGGAUCACAAUCAUAAUAAUAACUUUUACAAUAACCAAAAUAAUUAUGAAAAAAAUCAAUUAACACUAAGUAGUGACAAGGAUAAUAUACAGUCCCCCAAAUUACAAUAUAAGACAGAUAUUCCGGUCAAAUAUAAUAACGAAACAUAUGAAGAACGAACAAAAUAUAAUAAAAAAAAAAGUACAUUUUAUGAUCAUAGUACUACAACACAUAGUAUUUUUCCUUUUAGUACUUCGACAUAUGAUCAUAAUAAAACAAAUUUUAAUAAAAAUAAUGAUACCACAAUAAGCAACACGAAGUUGUCUCAUGAAUAUAAAAAUAAUAUAAGUGACAUAAAUAUGUAUAAAAACGAUGGUACAAUAAUAGAUAUUCCAAAUAAUAAUACAAACGAAGCAACCAAUUGUUACUUAAACUAUGGGGAUAACGGUUAUAAUGACUAUAAUAAAGAUGGUAAUAGUACCUAUGACACGUUGCAUAAAAAUUGUGGACUAACGAACUGUUACAAAGAGUAUGAUCCGAAUAUUAACUAUCAAAUUGGUUCACAGCUUCAUAACAAAAACUAUGAUGAUAAUUGUAAAAAUAAAAUUCUAGCUGAAAAUAUGAUGGGUUUAAAAGAAGAAGGAAUAAAUACUAUUACUGAUGUUGGUGUCAACAAUAUCAAUGUAAUUGAUAUACAUACUACAAAAUAUGAUGAAGAAAAAAGUAACGAUUUAAAUAAAAAUAUGCAUUACAAAAUAGAUGACCGAAGUGACAGCUUUUAUGUCAAUCGGGUUAAAGAUUUGAACCAUACUAAAAUUUUUUAUGAAAACAACAGUUAUAAUGGAUCUAAAACAUAUAAUUCUAAAAAAAAAAAUAUUAACAGUGACUUUGUUCCUAAAUAUAAACAACUUUCCUCGAAAGAAGCUCUUUAUAAUAAUUUGAUAGGGAAUGAUAAUAUAACAGUUUUAGCAGCUAAUCAAAUAAAAUUAGAUUUGAGUAAAUUACCACAAAAAGAUAUGAAUCUAUUACCUGACGUGUACCCUUUCCAUUUAUCAGCAGAAAAUAAAAAAAAUAAUAAUAAUACUAUUAAUAAUAAUAAUAAUAAUAAGAAUAUACGAUUGGAAAAAUUAUACCCAACCAAUUAUAAUUAUAUUAAUAAUUAUAAUACAAAAAAUGCUGAUAUAACUUUAGAGGAAAGAAGAAAUUAUAUGAACUCAAGUCAUAUUUUUGAAUAUGAUUCUGAAAAAUAUGUAGAUGUAAAAAAUGAACAAAAUAAAAAUUUAAAUAUGAUAACUAAUAUAACAAAUUAUAAAUUAUAUAAUAUAGAUAUAGAAAAAGAUGAAAAAAGAAAACAAAAUCCAAUGUACACUGAUUUAUUUGGUAGAAAAACACCUGAUGUUAAUAAAAAUAUGUCAUGUUCAAAAAAUAUGUCAACUGAUAUUAAUAAUAAUUCGAUAAAUUUAACAAAAGAUUGUAAUAAUAAUUAUGACAAGUCAUAUGAUACUUAUGCAAAUUAUUUAAAAGAACAUGGUAAAGAAAGUUUUCAUAGAGUGUCCAAAUUUUCAAAAGAUAGUUUUGAUUGUAGAAAACAACUUCAAGCUGCUUUAGAAAAAGGUUCAAAGGCUUGUUUACAGGUUAAUUUAAAAUCGUAUAUACAAGAUGAUACUAACACAUCAACCUCUACAAGUAAUAAUAAUGAUAAUAUUAAAUUAGACGUAGCUUAUUUUUCUUUACAAAAUAUAAAUGACUCAAUAACUGAUGAUGAAAUAAAACAGGUUGUUAAAAAUAGCCAAUCAUAUUUAGUUAAUUAUCA
This is a long non-coding RNA of Piliocolobus tephrosceles (Ugandan red Colobus), 1974 nucleotides long. The record is from Ensembl. Lineage: Eukaryota; Metazoa; Chordata; Mammalia; Primates; Cercopithecidae.